This 430-nucleotide ribosomal RNA is filed under the name uncultured bacterium. RNAcentral describes it as "partial 16S ribosomal RNA". It matches the Rfam family "Bacterial small subunit ribosomal RNA", at positions 338 to 795 of the family's 1533-position model. The record is from RNAcentral.
CCUACGGGGGGCAGCAGUGGGGAAUUUUGCACAAUGGGCGAAAGCCUGAUGCAGCAACGCCGCGUGUGUGAUGAAGGUCUUCGGAUUGUAAAGCACUUUCGACCGGGACGCGGUACCGGGAGAAGAAGCACCGGCUAACUCUGUGCCAGCAGCCGCGGUAAUACAGAGGGUGCAAGCGUUGUUCGGAAUUAUUGGGCGUAAAGCGCGUGUAGGCGGCUUUGCAAGUCGGGUGUGAAAUCCCUCAGCUCAACUGAGGAAGUGCGCCCGAAACUGCAGAGCUUGAGUACCGGAGAGGAUGGCGGAAUUCCCCAAGUAGAGGUGAAAUUCGUAGAUAUGGGGAGGAACACCGGGGCGAAGGCGGCCAUCUGGACGAACUGACGCUGAGACGCGAAAGCGUGGGUAGCAAACAGGAUUAGAUACCCUUGUAGUC